RNAcentral lists this long non-coding RNA (1756 nucleotides) under Sus scrofa (pig). Its description in RNAcentral is "lncRNA (ENSSSCG00045029322.1)". The record is from RNAcentral. Lineage: Eukaryota; Metazoa; Chordata; Mammalia; Artiodactyla; Suidae.
CAGAAGGUGAAUAUUGUCAAGGCAGCUCAGUGAACAAACCUUGAACUAUAGCAACACCAUGAAUUUUAUGUCCCUGUGAUGAGGUAAGUUCAAUUUGCAUUUACAAAUAACACAUUUCACUUUUCACUGCACAAAGUAAUCUUUUGUGAAAAUUAUGUCUGUAUCUCUGUCGUUUCUAUCUCUAUUCCUAAUCACCCCUUCAGUCGGAAAAGAAAGGAAAAGUAUAUAAUUAGGUUUAGGAGGCAUUUCUCAGAAAUAGCUAUCAAAGACAUGUUAUACCUUCUUAGCAACAUUUGUAGUACUCAUUGCUUAGUAUUUCAACAAACUUUUUCCUGUUUCAUCUUUUAACCUUUCCACUUUCUCAAGUUCUCAAGGCCAAGGCCACUGUCCCUGCCUCUAUAUUUAAUGUGGAUGCAUUUAUCCAUUGCCUUUGCCAAUCAAGAGAUACCUUUCUUUCCAAACAACAUCCUGUAUUUGACUGUUUAUAUUUAGCUUCAGAGAUAAAGAAUACCAUCUAAAUUAGAUGGCCAUAAGGAUUAAAAAGUAAGAUGAUGAAUGAACAAGUUUCAUUCCUUACAAGAUACAGUAAGAGCAUCAGCAAGAAUGAGGAACUUAGGUGCCUGGUGGCCCAGAAGAGACUGUGGCAGGUGGAAUAGAUACUAGGAGAAUAGGACACAAAAGUAUAAGCAAUGCAGUCCUACUGUAUACCACAGGGAACUAUAUCCAAUCUCCUGUGAUAGAAUAUGAUGGAAAAUAAUAUGAGAAAAGAACAUGUGUGUGUGUGUGUGUGUGUGUGUGUGUGUGUGUGUAUACACUAUGGGUCACUUUGAUGUACAGAAGAAAUUGACACAACAUUGUAAAUCAACUACACUUUAAUAAAAAAAUUAAAAAGAUAAUGGGAUAUAAAUUAAGGUAGAAAUAACAUAGCCAAAUAUUUCUUUCAUUAAGUGAAACGAUGUUCUACACAGAAAUCCCCACCCCCACUUCAUGAACACUGCAUGAAUAGAAUGCUUCAAUCAAAAGUAGUAUUUACCAGAAAUUGGCACACUAGGAAAUGAUAUAUGAUUAUUAUAGUGGAACAUAUAUGUCAUUGGUAAAAGGCAAAAGUAAUGGCCUUGCAAAAUUAAUGUCCUUGCAAAAGUAAUGGGAAAAUUUGAAUUGAUAGGUAAGCAGUUUGGGGGAUAAUUUGAAUUGAUAAGUAAGCAGUUUUCUUUUUAAUUAUAUCACUUAUAUCUCAAAUCUAAUAUAUGGCACAAAUGAAACUUUCCACAGAAAAGAAACUCAUGGACUUGGAGAACAGACUUGUGGUUGCCAAGGGGGAGUGAGAGGGAGUGGGAUGUUUUAAUAAAUUUGAACUAAUAUUUUUACAGAAAAAAACUAUUGUGCCCUUUCAAACUGUCACGUCAUAAAUCAUGUCAUGUUAGAACAUCAACUUUGUGAGAAUUGCAGCACAUUUACAGCCACAAAGAUUAAAUUAUGUCCUUUACAAACUUUAGUUAUUAUUUCAAUGUUCUGAACAGUAAUUUCCAUAUAUAACAAAAAUGUUUACAUGUUAGUAAUAGGUAAGAAAGAUAAAUGCUGAAUUUAAGUUUAUGAAAUAAAUUUGGUACUUGCUAUUGCUUGGAAAUAUUAAAAUGUAAACCUCUAUAUUUAGUGUUGUAAAAACCACAGUUCAGACUGCCCUUGGACGAUAAAACUGUAGCCCACCUAAGCCUUGGGGCAGAACCUCCUUUCCUGCCUGCUUUCAUCUCUCAGA